UGGGGAAUAUUGCACAAUGGGCGAAAGCCUGAUGCAGCAACGCCGCGUGAGUGAUGAAGGCCUUCGGGUUGUAAAGCUCUGUCUUUUGGGACGAUAAUGACGGUACCAAAGGAGGAAGCCACGGCUAACCUACGUGCCAGCAGCCGCGGUAAUACGUAGGUGGCAAGCGUUGUCCGGAUUUACUGGGCGUAAAGGAUGCGUAGGCGGAUUUUUAAGUGAGAUGUGAAAACCCUAAGCUUAACUUGGGGACUGCAUUUCAUACUGGAAAUCUAGAGUGCGGGAGAGGAGAAUGGAAUUCCUAGUGUAGCGGUGAAAUGCGUAGAGAUUAGGAAGAACACCAGUGGCGAAGGCGAUUCUCUGGACCGUAACUGACGCUGAGGCAUGAAAGCGUGGGUAGCAAACAGGAUUAGAUACCCUGGUAGUCCACGCCGUAAACGAUGAGUACUAGGUGUAGGAGGUAUCGACCCCUUCUGUGCCGCAGUUAACACAAUAAGUACUCCGCCUGGGAAGUACGAUCGCAAGAUUAAAAACUCAAAGGAAUUGACGGGGGUCAUAGCUGUUUUUCCU
RNAcentral lists this ribosomal RNA (567 nucleotides) under uncultured bacterium. Its description in RNAcentral is "partial 16S ribosomal RNA". It matches the Rfam family "Bacterial small subunit ribosomal RNA", at positions 355 to 940 of the family's 1533-position model. The record is from RNAcentral.